AAAUUGAAGAGUUUGAUCAUGGCUCAGAUUGAACGCUGGCGGCAGGCCUAACACAUGCAAGUCGAACGGUAACAGGAAGCAGCUUGCUGCUUCGCUGACGAGUGGCGGACGGGUGAGUAAUGUCUGGGAAACUGCCUGAUGGAGGGGGAUAACUACUGGAAACGGUGGCUAAUACCGCAUAACGUCGCAAGACCAAAGAGGGGGACCUUCGGGCCUCUUGCCAUCAGAUGUGCCCAGAUGGGAUUAGCUGGUUGGUGAGGUAACGGCUCACCAAGGCGACGAUCCCUAGCUGGUCUGAGAGGAUGACCAGCCACACUGGAACUGAGACACGGUCCAGACUCCUACGGGAGGCAGCAGUGGGGAAUAUUGCACAAUGGGCGCAAGCCUGAUGCAGCCAUGCCGCGUGUAUGAAGAAGGCCUUCGGGUUGUAAAGUACUUUCAGCGGGGAGGAAGGUG
RNAcentral lists this ribosomal RNA (456 nucleotides) under Salmonella enterica. RNAcentral's name for it is "bacterial SSU rRNA". It matches the Rfam family "Bacterial small subunit ribosomal RNA", at positions 1 to 453 of the family's 1533-position model. The record is from RNAcentral. Lineage: Bacteria; Pseudomonadati; Pseudomonadota; Gammaproteobacteria; Enterobacterales; Enterobacteriaceae. RNAcentral also lists the same sequence under 1 other name.